This 289-nucleotide ribosomal RNA is filed under the name uncultured Acetobacteraceae bacterium. RNAcentral describes it as "partial 16S ribosomal RNA". Lineage: Bacteria; Pseudomonadati; Pseudomonadota; Alphaproteobacteria; Acetobacterales; Acetobacteraceae. The record is from RNAcentral.
CUACCGGGGUAUCUAAUCCUGUUUGCUCCCCACGCUUUCGCGCCUCAGCGUCAGUCAAGGACCAGGUCGCCGCCUUCGCCACCGGUGUUCUUCCCAAUAUCUACGAAUUUCACCUCUACACUGGGAAUUCCACGACCCUCUUCCCCACUCUAGCCCAAACGUAUCAAACGCAGCCCCCAGGUUGAGCCCAGGAAUUUCACGCCUGACUGUCCAAGCCGCCUACGCGCCCUUUACGCCCAGUCAUUCCGAGCAACGCUAGCCCCCUUCGUAUUACCGCGGCUGCUGGCAC